GAUGAACGCUGGCUGCGUGCCUAAUACAUGCAAGUCGAGCGAACGGACGAGAAGCUUGCUUCUCUGAUGUUAGCGGCGGACGGGUGAGUAACACGUGGAUAACCUACCUAUAAGACUGGGAUAACUUCGGGAAACCGGAGCUAAUACCGGAUAAUAUUUUGAACCGCAUGGUUCAAAAGUGAAAGACGGUCUUGCUGUCACUUAUAGAUGGAUCCGCGCUGCAUUAGCUAGUUGGUAAGGUAACGGCUUACCAAGGCAACGAUGCAUAGCCGACCUGAGAGGGUGAUCGGCCACACUGGAACUGAGACACGGUCCAGACUCCUACGGGAGGCAGCAGUAGGGAAUCUUCCGCAAUGGGCGAGAGCCUGACGGAGCAACGCCGCGUGAGUGAUGAAGGUCUUCGGAUCGUAAAACUCUGUUAUUAGGGAAGAACAUAUGUGUAAGUAACUGUGCACAUCUUGACGGUACCUAAUCAGAAAGCCACGGCUAACUACGUGCCAGCAGCCGCGGUAAUACGUAGGUGGCAAGCGUUAUCCGGAAUUAUUGGGCGUAAAGCGCGCGUAGGCGGUUUUUUAAGUCUGAUGUGAAAGCCCACGGCUCAACCGUGGAGGGUCAUUGGAAACUGGAAAACUUGAGUGCAGAAGAGGAAAGUGGAAUUCCAUGUGUAGCGGUGAAAUGCGCAGAGAUAUGGAGGAACACCAGUGGCGAAGGCGACUUUCUGGUCUGUAACUGACGCUGAUGUGCGAAAGCGUGGGGAUCAAACAGGAUUAGAUACCCUGGUAGUCCACGCCGUAAACGAUGAGUGCUAAGUGUUAGGGGGUUUCCGCCCCUUAGUGCUGCAGCUAACGCAUUAAGCACUCCGCCUGGGGAGUACGACCGCAGGGUUGAAACUCAAAGGAAUUGACGGGGACCCGCACAAGCGGUGGAGCAUGUGGUUUAAUUCGAAGCAACGCGAAGAACCUUACCAAAUCUUGACAUCCUUUGACAACUCUAGAGAUAGAGCUUUCCCCUUCGGGGGACAACGUGACAGGUGGUGCAUGGUUGUCGUCAGCUCGUGUCGUGAGAUGUUGGGUUAAGUCCCGCAACGAGCGCAACCCUUAAGCUUAGUUGCCAUCAUUAAGUUGGGCACUCUAAGUUGACUGCCGGUGACAAACCGGAGGAAGGUGGGGAUGACGUCAAAUCAUCAUGCCCCUUAUGAUUUGGGCUACACACGUGCUACAAUGGACAAUACAAAGGGCAGCGAAACCGCGAGGUCAAGCAAAUCCCAUAAAGUUGUUCUCAGUUCGGAUUGUAGUCUGCAACUCGACUACAUGAAGCUGGAAUCGCUAGUAAUCGUAGAUCAGCAUGCUACGGUGAAUACGUUCCCGGGUCU
RNAcentral lists this ribosomal RNA (1372 nucleotides) under uncultured bacterium. Its description in RNAcentral is "bacterial SSU rRNA". It matches the Rfam family "Bacterial small subunit ribosomal RNA", at positions 28 to 1381 of the family's 1533-position model. The record is from RNAcentral.